Molecule: ribosomal RNA, 1245 nt
Filed under: metagenome
Description: bacterial LSU rRNA
Rfam family: Bacterial large subunit ribosomal RNA
Source: RNAcentral
UGAAUACGAGAUGCUACGGCGUCGAAGCAGUCUAUGUCAUACUUCCAAGAAAAGCUCGCACUGUCAUAAACAAAUAAUGCCUGUACCAUAACCGACACAGGUGGGUAGGUAGAGUAUACUAAGGGGCGCGAGAUAACUCUCUCUAAGGAACUCGGCAAAAUGACUCCGUAACUUCGGGAGAAGGAGUGCCUUAUUUAUAAGGUUGCAAUAACAAGAUCCAAGCAACUGUUUAUCAAAAACACAGGUCUCCGCUAAGUCGUAAGACGAUGUAUGGGGGCUGACGCCUGCCCAGUGCCAGAAGGUUAAAGAAGUUGGUUAGCAUUCGCGAAGCUGAUAACUGAAGCCCUGGUGAACGGCGGCCGUAACUAUAACGGUCCUAAGGUAGCGAAAUUCCUUGUCGGGUAAGUUCCGACCCGCACGAAAGGCGUAAUGAUUUGGAUACUGUCUCGGAGAGGGGCUCGGUGAAAUAGACUUGUCUGUGAAGAUGCGGACUACCUGCACCAGGACAGAAAGACCCUAUGAAGCUUUACUGUAACUUGAGAUUGAAAUUGGACUUUACUUGCGCAGUAUAGGUGGGAGGCGUUGAUAAUAUUCUUGCGGGGUUAUUUGAGCCAUCAGUGAGAUACCACUCUUGUAAUGUUAGAUUUCUAACUUUGUAUCAUUAUCUGGUCAAAGGACAGUUUCAGGCGGGCAGUUUGACUGGGGCGGUCGCCUCCUAAACGGUAACGGAGGCGCACAAAGGUUUCCUCUGAACGGGUAGAGAUCGUAUCUAGAGUGUAAAGGCAUAAGGAAGCUUGACUGUGAGGCCUACAAGUCGAGCAGGGACGAAAGUCGGUCUUAGUGAUCUGACGGUGCUGAGUGGAAAGGCCGUCACUCAACGGAUAAAAGUUACUCUAAGGAUAACAGGCUGAUCUCCCCCAAGAGUUCACAUCGACGGGGAGGUUUGGCACCUCGAUGUCGGCUCAUCGCAUCCUGGGGCGGUAGUACGUCCCAAGGGUUGGGCUGUUCGCCCAUGAAAGCGGUACGCGAGCUGGGUUCAGAACGUCGUGAGACAGUUCGGUCCAUAUCCGGUGUAGGCGUUAGAAUAUUGAGAGGAGCCUUCUUUAGUACGAGAGGACCGAGAAGGACAUACCUCUGGUGUACCAGUUAUCGUGCCAACGGUAAACGCUGGGUAGCUAUGUAUGGAGUGGAUAACCGCUGAAAGCAUCUAAGUGGGAAGCCCACCUCAAGAUAAGUAUUCUCAUC